Cinara cedri is the source of this 273-nucleotide non-coding RNA. The record is from the annotation of a GenBank genome assembly. NCBI's taxonomy places the organism in Eukaryota, Metazoa, Arthropoda, Insecta, Hemiptera, Aphididae.
AUAAUUUGUAUAAGUUUAUUAAUUUUUCACGAUCAUAACUUAUGUUGUAGCUCUAAUGCAUGAAUACCUAAUAAUGAAUUAAUACCUACCACGAUGUUGAUGAAAAUUAAUCUACACCGUGAUUAGUACCCACUACUACUUAUGAUAAUUUUACAACUCAAAUUUGCGCGAGUAAUAUGUAAUCAAUUACUUCAGAAUUUUAGUUAUGGUUAAUUUGAUCGUCUGAGCUAUUUUCAAAUAAAUUUUCAAAGUUUGCUGUUCGCCAAAGAUUUU